Molecule: long non-coding RNA, 713 nt
Organism: Erythranthe guttata (spotted monkey flower)
Lineage: Eukaryota; Viridiplantae; Streptophyta; Magnoliopsida; Lamiales; Phrymaceae
Source: RefSeq, a predicted model, not a curated record
CAGAGAGUAUACAUUACUAAUUACACAUGGUUAUUAAUUUUAGACUAAAGUUGUGGUAUUGAAAAUAACCAAAUCAAACUUAUCUUAUGUUUUCCUCAGCUAAGGUUUCUUCUUCUUUAUUGUUGUGCACGUAUCUGUAACAAAAACAACUUCACCAAUUUGCGCCGUGAGCAGGUUGCCGCAAUUGAAAUUUGGGCUCUUUAUCCUCCGCCGUGACUUCACCAGAGCUCCACCAACCAAGAAGAAUCCGAAGAUUCGAUCGGCGGGAAGUGGUCUGUAUGUGCCUUAAUUCUUUCACAUGUUUUUGCUUUAAUUGUUUCUCCUCGUAAUAGAGCUCAGUGGUGAUCUUCGUUCUCGUCCUCUUCUCCGGCAUUCCAAACUCAUGGGUGUGUUGUGCUGCUAUUUUGCAACUGAUGCGGGUGCCCAAUUUGGCCACUCGAAUGUUGGGGGACUAAACGUGGUCGUCGCCAGAAGAAACUACUAAGGAGCUUUGAGAUUUCCAUGUUUGAGAUGUACUAAUUUUUUGGCUGAUCCAUGCUACACUCAAGACUUAUAUAUUAUGUUGGCGAGGAAUUCCUCUUCUUUUAAUGCCUAAAGAGGAUUAUAUUUUUUAACGACAAUAGUUAUGUUGGAUUCAAAUAGUCAUUUGUAAAUAAUUUGCUUCUAAUUGUUUCAUAGUUUUGGGUAUUACACAGUAUUACAUUGCGCAUUUC